UGAGAAUCAUUUUUUUAUAUCAUUUUGCUAUAGUCCAAAAGAUGAGGGACUAUGCUCUGCUAAUGCAACUCGCUAUUAUUUUAAUCCAAGACACAAAGCCUGUGAGGCCUUCACCUAUACUGGCUGUGGAGGGAAUAACAAUAACUUUGUUAACGUGAAGGACUGCAAACGCAUUUGUGUAAAAGCCUUGAAAAAGGGAAAAAACAAGAUGCCAAAACUUCUCUUUGCAAGUAGAAGACUGAAAAUUAAGAAGAAGCAAUUUUAACCCUUUUUUCUUUUUCCGUAUGUCAUCUUGUGAAUGACUUUAUGGUUAUAUCUGAAGGAUAAUAUGGUAAUACAAGUAAGCAAAUCAUUAGUGAUUUAUUCACCAGUUCUUAUAUGUUACAUUUUUUAAUUUGUGUAGUUUUUAUACAUAACUAGCUGCUAUUCAAAUGCGAAUCUAUUAUUUUAAAUUUAAUGUUCAACUAUUUUUUAUGAGGUUAAAUUCUUGCUGUGCAUAAGAUAUAAAAGCAAACAUGACUCACCCAGUUCUUGGGGUUGCUCUCCCUGAUUUCAGAAGAUGAUAGUAACUGAAAAAUAAAAGAAUAUGAUUAUAUUGUCUUAUAACAGAUAGGAUUAUAAAAAGGACCAGCAAAUAUAUUUAAUUUUGCAUUUAAAAGUCAGAUUAUAUUUUGGACCCAAGGAGACAAACUUGCAGACUUACCAACACUUCAAAAAAUGUUACAAAUGCUAUUAUAUAGACACUGCUAAGUUACUUCUAUUUCUACAGUGUCAUUUAAAAGAUAAUAAAAUAAAGUAACUGUUUUGCCUGAAUUAAAAAGCUAGUAAAGUAAUUACAACCAGAAAUGUUCUCCUCGGGUUGGGGUGGGGGGAUUCUCUGUCUCUCUCUCUCUCUUCAUCUAUCCAUUCAUCCCCACUCAGCAUUAAGUUGUUAAAAUUUUUGUACUGUUCAAGGUGCUUAUUUAUACUAUACCAGAGACAAUGCAUAAAUUUAAUAAUUUAAAUUCCACUAAUAAAAUAUUCCUGAUAAAUAUGAUCA
Molecule: long non-coding RNA, 1039 nt
Organism: Mesoplodon densirostris (Blainville's beaked whale)
Lineage: Eukaryota; Metazoa; Chordata; Mammalia; Artiodactyla; Ziphiidae
Exons: 2
Source: RefSeq, a predicted model, not a curated record